RNAcentral lists this ribosomal RNA (251 nucleotides) under uncultured Rikenellaceae bacterium. RNAcentral's name for it is "partial 16S ribosomal RNA". It matches the Rfam family "Bacterial small subunit ribosomal RNA", at positions 1132 to 1382 of the family's 1533-position model. Lineage: Bacteria; Pseudomonadati; Bacteroidota; Bacteroidia; Bacteroidales; Rikenellaceae. The record is from RNAcentral.
GGGGGACUCUAGCGGAACUGCCAGCGUAAGCUGCGAGGAAGGUGGGGAUGACGUCAAAUCAGCACGGCCCUUACGUCCAGGGCUACACACGUGUUACAAUGGCCAGUACAGAGGGCAGCCACCCCGCGAGGGGGCGCUAAUCCUAAAAGCUGGUCCCAGUUCGGAUCGGAGUCUGCAACCCGACUCCGUGAAGCUGGAUUCGCUAGUAAUCGCGCAUCAGCCACGGCGCGGUGAAUACGUUCCCGGGCCUU